UUAGAGUUUGAUCCUGGCUCAGGACGAACGCUGGCGGCGUGCCUAACACAUGCAAGUCAAGCGAAUGAAGUUCCUUCGGGAACGGAUUUAGCGGCGGACGGGUGAGUAACACGUGGGCAACCUGCCUCAUAGAGGGGAAUAGCCUUCCGAAAGGGAGAUUAAUACCGCAUAAGAUUGUAGUACCGCAUGGUACAGCAAUUAAAGGAGCAAUCCGCUAUGAGAUGGGCCCGCGGCGCAUUAGCUAGUUGGUGAGGUAACGGCUCACCAAGGCGACGAUGCGUAGCCGACCUGAGAGGGUGAUCGGCCACAUUGGGACUGAGACACGGCCCACACUCCUACGGGAGGCAGCAGUGGGGAAUAUUGCACAAUGGGGGAAACCCUGAUGCACCAACGCCGCGUGAGUGAUGACGGCCUUCGGGUUGUAAAGCUCUGUCUUCAGGGACGAUAAUGACGGUACCUGAGGAGGAAGCCACGGCUAACUACGUGCCAGCAGCCGCGGUAAUACGUAGGUGGCGAGCGUUGUCCGGAUUUACUGGGCGUAAAGGGAGCGUAGGCGGAUUUUUUAAGUGAGAUGUGAAAUACUCGGGCUUAACCUGGGUGCUGCAUUUCAAACUGGAAGUCUAGAGUGCAGGAGAGGAGAAGGGAAUUCCUAGUGUAGCGGUGAAAUGCGUAAAGAUUAGGAAAAACACCGGGGGCGAAGGCUCUUCUCUGGACUGUAAAUGACGCUGAAGGUUCAAAAGCGUGGGGAAACAAACAGGAAUAAAAUAACCCGGGUUACCCCCCCCCCGAAAAACAAAAAAAAACUAAGGGGGU
RNAcentral lists this ribosomal RNA (813 nucleotides) under uncultured bacterium. RNAcentral describes it as "partial 16S ribosomal RNA". It matches the Rfam family "Bacterial small subunit ribosomal RNA", at positions 1 to 829 of the family's 1533-position model. The record is from RNAcentral.